RNAcentral lists this ribosomal RNA (468 nucleotides) under uncultured bacterium. Its description in RNAcentral is "partial 16S ribosomal RNA". It matches the Rfam family "Bacterial small subunit ribosomal RNA", at positions 28 to 507 of the family's 1533-position model. The record is from RNAcentral.
GACGAACGCUGGCGGCGUGCUUAACACAUGCAAGUCGAACGGAAAGGCCCUGCUUUUGUGGGGUGCUCGAGUGGCGAACGGGUGAGUAACACGUGAGUAACCUGCCCUUGACUUUGGGAUAACUUCAGGAAACUGGGGCUAAUACCGGAUAGGAGCUCCUGCUGCAUGGUGGGGGUUGGAAAGUUUCGGCGGUUGGGGAUGGACUCGCGGCUUAUCAGCUUGUUGGGGGGGUAGUGGCUUACCAAGGCUUUGACGGGUAGCCGGCAUGAGAGGGUGACCGGCCACAUGGGGACUGAGAUACGGCCCAGACUCCUACGGGAGGCAGCAGUGGGGAAUAUUGCACAAUGGGCGGAAGCCUGAUGCAGCAACGCCGCGUGCGGGAUGACGGCUUUCGGGUUGUAAACCGCUUUCGCCUGUGACGAAGCGUGAGUGACGGUAAUGGGUAAAGAAGCACCGGCUAACUACGUG